ACACUUGUGCUUCAAAGUAGCACCAUGAUCUUCAUGAUAGAGAGUCUCCGAUGUUGUCACUUUCAUAUACUAGUGGGAAAUUGUCAUUAUAGAACUUGGCUUGUAUAUUCCAAUGAUGGGCUUCCUCAAAUUGCCCUAGGUCUUCGUGAGCAAGCAAGUUGGAUGCACACCCACUUAGUUUUUUUGAGCUUUCAUACACUUAUAGC
Molecule: long non-coding RNA, 206 nt
Filed under: Hordeum vulgare
Lineage: Eukaryota; Viridiplantae; Streptophyta; Magnoliopsida; Poales; Poaceae
Description: long non-coding RNA (HVUL_LNC012708)
Source: RNAcentral